Molecule: non-coding RNA, 1546 nt
Organism: Camellia sinensis
Lineage: Eukaryota; Viridiplantae; Streptophyta; Magnoliopsida; Ericales; Theaceae
Source: RefSeq, a predicted model, not a curated record
CUCUCUCUCUUGGUGUUUUUUGUGCUCUGAGCUUUCAAACUACAGUGCAUAAGGACUUUCAAAAACUACUCACUUCUCUCCCCCCCAAACCCUAACUUUCUCUCUCCCCCUCCUUCUCCCCCAAUUCACCUCUCAAUUUACAUUAUACACAUAUUUAUAUAUGCAUAUAUAGAUCGUGGUGGCUACAGAGACAUGGAUGAUGAUGAUAAGGACAGAGUCGAUCCAGCGAUUACCGAGUCGAGCUGGACAUUCGGUGCUGUCUCGGACAGCGUUUACUUCUUCGGCAACGAUAGAGACAACAGUAUACUGAGCGAAUUUGGUUGGAAUCUUCGGCCCGAGUCGGCGUCGGCGGAGGAAAGUGGUGGCGAUGCCGGUAGUUUUGAUCGGAUCGGUGUGGAGGAGGAGGAGAAUGAUAGGCUGUUGAUGGCGGCGGAGAGUACCAUCACCACCACUGCUACGCACUGCACUGGUGGUGAACCGGGGAUCCAAACCCGUCCUGUUCGAGACGCGUCAAAGUCGAAUUCGAGCUCUUCGGAGGAUCCGCCGGAGAAUUCCACUGCCUCCGGCGAGAACAAACCACCGGCUGAGACAUCGAGCAAAGUUAAAAAGAAAGUGCAAAAGAGAAUCCGACAGCCUCGUUUUGCAUUCAUGACAAAGAGCGAAGUUGAUCAUCUUGAAGAUGGCUAUCGAUGGCGGAAAUAUGGCCAGAAAGCAGUUAAAAAUAGUCCAUUUCCUCGGAGCUACUAUCGCUGUACAAACAGCAAAUGCACAGUGAAGAAAAGGGUUGAACGAUCUUCUGAAGAUGCAACUAUUGUGAUCACUACCUAUGAAGGCCAGCAUUGUCACCAUACAGUUGGAUUCCCCAGAGGUGGACUUGUUUUAAGUCAUGAAGCUACCUAUGCAAACCACUUGACUCCUUCAGCCUCACAAUUUUAUUAUCCAAGAGCCCAAUUUCCUCAACAAUGUUCUCAUAGCGUACCACAAACGCACCACGUUCCAGGUGAUGCGAGAGAAUCCCAUUUAUUGGCCGAGCCAAAUCCUCAACUUCCCACUGAUGAAGGACUUCUCGGCGACAUUGUACCUCCUGGAAUGCGCAAUCAGUGACAAGAUGGAUAGGGUUCACUUUGAAGUACCUUUGAUAGAAUAAUGAUCCCUAAUGAUGCUCAAUAGGACUUUGUUUACACACAUACCCAAUUCCCUUUUUGAAUAAAAAAGAAUGAGACUGAACCCAUGUGAUAUGCACAAGAUGGUAUAUGAAGCAAAUGAAGAACAAGGAGCUUAUUCGUGACCACAGGACUGAAGCUAGUUUGGAGCCAGAUAUGAGUUUUUUUUUUUUUUUUACCUGUGGAACCCUUUUCCUACAUAUCAAGUGGCUAACCAGUCUCACGUAAGUACUGAUUAACGAGCCUCAUUCUUGCAUUGAACUAAGAUUUAUCUUUGAUCCCCCCUUCUCAAUCCUGAUAUUACUAUGUCUCUACUGUGUUGUAUAUCAUAUUGGUUAUGAUCAUUAUUAUAUAUAAUGUAAAUUUAUUGACUAUAUUCUCUU